RNAcentral lists this long non-coding RNA (1625 nucleotides) under Triticum aestivum (bread wheat). RNAcentral describes it as "long non-coding RNA (TAES_LNC015737)". The record is from RNAcentral. Lineage: Eukaryota; Viridiplantae; Streptophyta; Magnoliopsida; Poales; Poaceae.
GCAAGUGAGGUAAUCUUCACACAACCCAUGUAAUACAUAAGGGAAAGAGAUACAUAGUUGGCUUACAAUCGCCACUUCACACAAUUACAUGAAUAAAGCAUUACAUCAUCCAGAUACAAUCAAGGUCCGACUACGGAACCAAAAUAAAAGAAGAACCCCAAAUGCGACAAAGGUCCCCGAUCGACCCCAACUGGGCUCCACUACUGAUCAACUAGAACGAAACAACACAAAGGGCAAGAUCUUCAUCGAGCUCCUCCUUAAGCUUCAUUGCGUCACCUGCUCGGUAACAUAGGCACCUGCAAACUUGUUUUGGAAGUAUCUGUGAGCCACGGGGACUCAGCAAUCUCGCACCCGCGAGAUCAAGACUAUUUAAGCUUAUGGGUAAGGUAAAGGUAUGAGGUGGAGCUGCAACAAGCGACUAGCAUAUAUGGUGGCUAACAUACGCAAAUGAGAGCGAGAAGAGAAGGCAAAGCACGGUCGAUAAAGGUAUGAUCAAGAAGUGAUCCUGGACUACCUACGUCAAGCAUAACUCCAACAACCGUGUUCACUUUCCGGACUCCGCCAGAAAGAGACCAUCACGGUUACACACGCGGUUGAUGUAUUUUAAUUAAGGUCAACUUCGGGUUUUCUACAACCGGACGUUAACAAAUUCCCAUCUGCCCAUAACCGCGGGCACGGCUUUCGAAAGUUCAAAUCUCUGCAGGGAUGUCCCAACUUAGCCCAUGACAAGCUCUCACAGUCAACGAAGGAAUAGACCUCCACCCGAGACACUCCGAUCAGACUCGGUAUCCCGGUACAACAAGACAUUUCGACAGGGUAAAACUAAACCAGCAACACCGCCCGAAUGUGCCGACAAAUCCCGAUAGGAGCUGCACAUAUCUCUUUCUCAGGGCACACUCAGAUGAGACUAGCUACGAGUAAAACCAGCCCUCAAGUUUCCCCGAGGUGGCCCCGCAGGCAGCUCAGUUCAGACCAACACUCAGAGGAGCACUGGCCCGGGGGGGGGGUAAAAUAAUGAUGACCCUCAGGAGCGCGACUCCCAAGGGAAAAGAAAAGGCUAGGUGGCAAAUGGUAAAACCAAUGUUGGGCAUUGCUGGAGAAGCUUUACUUAAGGCGAACUGUCAAGGGGUUCCCAUUAUAGCCCAACCGCGUAAGGGACGCAAAAUCCGGGAACAUAACACCGAUAUGACGGAAACUAGGGCGGCAAGAGUGGAACAAAACACCAGGCAUAAGGCCGAGCCUUCCACCCUUUACCAAGUAUAUAGAUGCAUUAAUUAAAUAAGAUAUAUUGUGAUAUCCCAACCAGUAAACAUGUCCAACAAGGAACAACAUCUCCAUGUUCCAACAAGGAACAAACUUCAAUCUUCACCUGCAACUAACAAUGCUAUAAGAGGGGCUGAGCAAAGCGGUAACAUAGCCAAUCAACGGUUUGCUAGGACAUGGUGGGUUAGAGGUUUGACAUGGCAAUUUGGGAGGCUGACAAGCAAAUGGUAGGCAUCGUAGCAUUGGCAUGGCAAAAGAGCGAGCAAACUAGCAUAGCAAAGAUAGUAGUGAUUUCGAGGGUAUGAUCAUCUUGCCUGAAAUCCCGCAAGGAAGAAGAACGAGUCCAUGAAGAAGACAAACGG